AGAGUUUGAUCCUGGCUCAGAACGAACGCUGGCGGCGUGCUUAACACAUGCAAGUCGAGUGCGCGCCUGUAGCAAUACAGGUGGCGCACGGCGCACGGGUGCGUAACACGUGGGUAACCUGCCCUUUGGUGGGGAAUAACUCCGCGAAAGCGGAGCUAAUUCCGCAUAAGAUCCGCAAGGAUGAAAGCCGCAAGGCGCCGAUGGAGGGGCCCGCGCCCGAUUAGCUAGUUGGUAGGGUAAUGGCCUACCAAGGCUUUGAUCGGUAGCUGGUCUGAGAGGAUGGCCAGCCACACUGGAACUGAGACACGGUCCAGACUCCUACGGGAGGCAGCAGUGGGGAAUUGUUCGCAAUGGGCGCAAGCCUGACGACGCAACGCCGCGUGGAGGAUGAAGAUCUUCGGGUCGUAAACUCCUUUCGAUCGAGACGAACGGCCUCUGGGUGAACAAUCCGGAGGAGUGACGGUACCGAGAGAAGAAGCCCCGGCUAACUCCGUGCCAGCAGCCGCGGUAAUACGGGGGGGGCAAGCGUUGUUCGGAAUUACUGGGCGUAAAGGGCUCGUAGGCGGCCAACUCAGUCACACGUGAAAUCCCUCGGCUUAACCGGGGAACUGCGUGUGAUACUGGAUGGCUUGAGUUUGGGAGAGGGAUGCGGAAUUCCAGGUGUAGCGGUGAAAUGCGUAGAUAUCUGGAGGAACACCGGUGGCGAAGGCGGCAUCCUGGACCAACACUGACGCUGAGGAGCGAAAGCCAGGGGAGCAAACGGGAUUAGAUACCCCGGUAGUCCUGUCCUAAACGAUGAUGCUUGUGUGCGGGUAUCGAUCCCUGCCGUGGCCGAGCUUACGCCAUUAAGCAUUCCGCCUGGGGAGUACGGUCGCAAGCUGAAACUCAAGGGAUUUGAACGGGGGGCCG
RNAcentral lists this ribosomal RNA (909 nucleotides) under uncultured bacterium. RNAcentral describes it as "bacterial SSU rRNA". It matches the Rfam family "Bacterial small subunit ribosomal RNA", at positions 8 to 923 of the family's 1533-position model. The record is from RNAcentral.